GACGAACGCUGGCGGCGUGCUUAACACAUGCGAGUCGAACGGAAAGGCCCUGCUUUUGUGGGGUGCUCGAGUGGCGAACGGGUGAGUAACACGUGAGUAACCUGCCCUUGACUUUGGGAUAACUUCAGGAAACUGGGGCUAAUACCGGAUAGGAGCUCCUGCUGCAUGGUGGGGGUUGGAAAGUUUCGGCGGUUGGGGAUGGACUCGCGGCUUAUCAGCUUGUUGGUGGGGUAGUGGCUUACCAAGGCUUUGACGGGUAGCCGGCCUGAGAGGGUGACCGGCCACAUUGGGACUGAGAUACGGCCCAGACUCAUACGGGAGGCAGCAGCGGGGAAUAUUGCAAAAUGGGCGGAAGCGUGAUGGAGCAACGCCGCGUGCGGGAUGACGGCCUUCGGGUUGUAAACCGCUUUCGCCUGUGACGAAGCGUGAGUGACGGUAAUGGGUAAAGAAGCACCGGCUAACUACGG
Molecule: ribosomal RNA, 467 nt
Filed under: uncultured bacterium
Lineage: Bacteria
Description: partial 16S ribosomal RNA
Rfam family: Bacterial small subunit ribosomal RNA
Source: RNAcentral